RNAcentral lists this ribosomal RNA (253 nucleotides) under uncultured bacterium. RNAcentral's name for it is "partial 16S ribosomal RNA". It matches the Rfam family "Bacterial small subunit ribosomal RNA", at positions 524 to 776 of the family's 1533-position model. The record is from RNAcentral.
UACGGGGGGGGCAAGCGUUGUUCGGAAUUACUGGGCGUAAAGGGUUCGUAGGUGGCCAACUAAGUCAGACGUGAAAUCCCUCAGCUUAACUGGGGAACUGCGUCUGAGACUGGAUGGCUUGAGUGCAGGAGAGGAACGCGGAAUUCCAGGUGUAGCGGUGAAAUGCGUAGAUAUCAGGAGGAACAUCGAUGGCGAAGGCAGCCCCUUGGACCUGUACUGACGCUCAUGCACGAAAGCGUGGGGAGCAAACAGG